UGGGGAAUAUUGGACAAUGGGCGCAAGCCUGAUCCAGCCAUGCCGCGUGAGUGACGAAGGCCUUAGGGUUGUAAAGCUCUUUUGGCGGGGAAGAUAAUGACGGUACCCGCAGAAUAAGCUCCGGCUAACUUCGUGCCAGCAGCCGCGGUAAUACGAAGGGAGCUAGCGUUGUUCGGAAUCACUGGGCGUAAAGCGCACGUAGGUGGGCAGUUAAGUCAGGGGUGAAAGCCCGAGGCUCAACCUCGGAAUUGCCUCUGAUACUGGCUGUCUAGAGUCCGAGAGAGGUGGGUGGAAUUCCUAGUGUAGAGGUGAAAUUCGUAGAUAUUAGGAAGAACACCGGUGGCGAAGGCGGCCCACUGGCUCGGUAUUGACGCUGAGGCGCGAAAGCCAGGGGAGCAAACGGGGAUUAGAUACCCAAGUAGUCCCUGA
This 429-nucleotide ribosomal RNA is filed under the name uncultured bacterium. Its description in RNAcentral is "bacterial SSU rRNA". It matches the Rfam family "Bacterial small subunit ribosomal RNA", at positions 355 to 799 of the family's 1533-position model. The record is from RNAcentral.